UUUCUGGAGAUGCCUGCCUACCUAUGGCCUUCUGUUGGUGUAAUUGUUUGGUACGGUCAUUCCCUAGUUGGCUGGUUUUCCCAUUAAUAAAGUGACCUGGGGCCCAAUGCGAAUGCGUGCGAGCUCUUUUACAUUCCUUGGAACUGGUUGGACCCAUUCUCGGGCGCUUUUGCCAAGCUUAUGACGUGGGGUCUCGUCUCUCAGGAAAUGCAUUUGGAAGGAUGAGGGUUCUGCCAGGCUUCUCUGAGUCCGGAGCAUCUAGGCAGUCUACAGAGCUUGUGCUAUGAAGGAAUACACUCAUAGAGCCCAGGCCUCCAUCAAAAGAGACGUUAAGGAGAGUUUAUAGCUCCUUUCAUUGGGAAAUAUGCAUUUUUAAGACUGGUGUGUACACUGUAAACUCUCUGCCAAACGUGUGCACAGGAAAUACAUAA
Molecule: long non-coding RNA, 431 nt
Organism: Numida meleagris (helmeted guineafowl)
Lineage: Eukaryota; Metazoa; Chordata; Aves; Galliformes; Numididae
Exons: 3
Source: RefSeq, a predicted model, not a curated record